UUUUUAUUUUAUACCGGGGGGCGUGCUGCUCGGCGGCGCGGUCUUGACGAUGGCGUGGUCGCUGGGGCAAUUGGGCGGCGUCUGCCUAGGUCUUGGGUGGCGCUGUUGCUGGUGAUCGCGGCGGCGCUCCAGUGCAUGGGUUGGUAUGUGACUGCAUCUCCGCUGUUUGGAUUGAAGUUUGGUUGGGUGUGAGUGCACGGGAGGAGGUGAGCAACCCCAAAUCUAGCGAUUUCCGUUCUAAAAUUCCAAUUAUCUCCCACUUACGUUUCCCUUUGUCAUUCUCUUUCCAAACUGUUUUUUGUGCAUCUGAGCGUUCCGAUCUGCUCGCUCCUGUGCCCCUCGAGGUCCCAAUUUGACUACAAGCCAGUGGAUGGUUCUCCCGAUGGUGGAAUUGAAGGGGCCCCAAUGGAUAAGGAUGUGACAGGCAAGCGGGAGGCCACCACUACCAGCGUCCUCAAGCUCUACCACUAAUCAUUUAUCUAGCACACAUCACCACCUGGGUUAUGUGGGUAUGUCCUAAAAAUAUGUAGUCAACCUUGCCAGCUCAAAUAAUUUUUAUUUGCUUCAAUCCCCAAUCUGGUUCGUAGCAGACAUGCAGUUAGUAGAAUCUUGCCUCCUGGUUGUAGAAUUUUUGGUCGAUUCGUUGGCUGCUUCAUAUUGUUAAACCAUGGAAUAAUUUCUGAUCCUUCGUGGACUGAAUUGUUGGAUUCUUUUCCCCCUUCCUGUCGUUCAUACAUCACCAUUUGUUUCUGAAACCAAGUCAUAUUUGCCGGAUUUCUAAAUUUCAGAGAUUGCAGAUAGUUAUUUCAAGUUUAAAAAUUGGUUGUAAUUUUGGUUCAUCAGUUGUACCAUAUGCAAACACAUAUCUAUGAUUCAUGAAAGUUUUUGUUCUGUCAAUCAGGGUCAUACUCCCUGCAGCUAGUAGCUGCUCUAAACAUUGUUGUAAUGUUACUACUUAAUACUUAAUAAUGAUUGUGGAGGUGCUGCUAACAUUUCCUACUGCAACAACAACAGAGGUAAAAAAUUAUGUGUGGGCUUCAAUGAUGUAAUUGAUUUCUAUUUGCCAUGCGUUAGUGUUUCCUAUCAUCUAGCUUCGGAUUUAAAGUAAAUAUAUAUACUUCCUGUUGGAGUUGAAGUAAGUAUCUCACGUUUGAGCUGCUUGUGUGCCAUUUUUUUUACCUGGGCCCUUAUUUUAAUCUCAGCUGUAGUUAAUGGCAACAAGCACCCACGACGCCCCUAUUUUAUUUACCUGGGCCACUAAUAUUAUUUCAGCUCUAUUUGGUCUUUGGAAAUGGUAUAUCUGGAAAUAAAGAACUAUGCGUGUCAUUCUAUCAUUCUGCAAAUUAGUCAAUUUUGUAGUUUCUUUCUUUUCCUCAGUGAUAUGCCAAUAUGUUUCAGCUCAGCGCAUGGAGUAAUUAGAUGGUCCUUCUCCUGUGAUUUACUAGAUUGUCAGCAAUGAUUCAAAGGUCAGUUCCUUUAGACAUAGAUGUGGAAUAAAGCAUCAACCUAUUUAAUAAUGUAUCCAUCCAUCUAGCAACAGGUAGCGUAACAAGCAUAAGUAGAUACUGACCCAGACAAAGAAACCCACUAAAGAGAUGGCAGUAGUCUUGGUGAGCGCUCUGAAUCUACAAAUUCCUUGAUCCAUUUUUUGUUGUUGAGAAAACACAAAAGACUUUUACGUUUCAUUGCAUUGAAAAGAAGUUUGGUACAAUCCUCCUAGGAGGCGAGUUUACAAGAUGAGUACAGGCACACUAGUGGACAUCCCAAGUCUGAGGCAGGAUGGCGCGGAGUCCUAUAGCACCUGCUCUGCCCGUCGGUUACUUCCAUGGUCGCUAGGAUUUUGAUCCAUUUUUACAUUAUGCAAGCAUAACAGAAGAGAUAAAUGUAGACACUUUUAGGCACAUACCCCAAAUAUGCCUGACAUUAGAUCCAGAUCAGUAAAUUAACAGUAUGCCAACUACACAUAGCAUUUCAGACGAAAAAAAUGUAGACAUAAAAUGGGAGCAUAGUAGCCAGACACUUCGAACUUCAAAUAUCAUAAAAUCCUAUAUAAAAAGGUAAAUUUCUAACUGAUGCUUGUGCAAUUUAUGUUAUCUUCUAGUUUAAUUCUCUGUAUGUAUAUGCUAGUAUGUAUAAGUAAAAAUAUGCAUGUGUUUGUUUUCCUCAGGGAAGAGCAUUCCUCUAUUUAUUUUAUCAUCUAAUUUAAUUCUCUUUAUGUAUACAUGUUAUAAGUAAAAAUCUGCAUGCGUGCUUUUCUCUAGCAAAGAGCAUUGUUCUAUUUAUCUCGGACCAUCAUGUCUCAUUCACUGGGUUGUUGGUAAGAAUAUGUCCAUGUUUUAAUGUUUUUUUGACUACAGUCUAUAGUUGUAAAAUCUGUCAUUAAGCUUCAGCACUUCACUCUUGCAAGCUUCUUUCAAGUGCGGUCGCCUGAGAUUACCCCAUUGGCUUUGACUAAGACUUCCAAUUAAUUGUUAGGUUGCUUAUCCUGAAGUUCAUGAUCCUGCAGGCGAGCAAAGGAUGUGAUAAGCGCAGUUUUGUCUCUGUAGUUUUGUAGACUUCAUUCAUCAUGACGAUUUUAUGGAGUCUGAACAAUGUGUAGCUGCAAUGGAGGUUCCAGGAAGACUUCAAGAUGCUAGGCAUCAACCAUUUUGAGGUCGUUUUAGCAAGACCUAAUGUUUCAGUGCAUAUAGCGCAGUGUAACAUAUCAAGUCAGUUUGUUUCUGUAAUUAUACGGCCUUGUCCAUAUGUUUUACCCCACCAUCAGUAUUUUGCAUGAUGCCCUAGGUAAUUUGUGUUCAGAAAUUUACAUUGUGUAUCUGCAUACUUGGCUGGCAAUAUCAUUACCUGACAGCCUCCGGACACAUUCCUAUAGAAUCUUAAUUCUCAAAAAAGAAACCCUAUAACCUUAAGGAGCUAUUUCAUUCCUUAAAAGUAUACUUUUGUUGCAGGGCCAGUAUAUUGGAAAUCAGGGGCAGAGCUCAGCCACCAGCUCCAUCUGUAUUUGCUUUCGUACCAAUAACUGGAAAGAUAAUAUUAUUCUCCUUGAUUUCACCGACAAUUGCAGCAUAUGACGCCAAUAUAAAUUGUCCUGCCAGUUCUUUAACAUAAUUAGGAGUCAGGUUCCAAAACAAUUAUCUGAAACUUACCUUUGACCAUCCUCACCUUAACUUUACAUCGCAC
This 3180-nucleotide long non-coding RNA is filed under the name Triticum aestivum (bread wheat). RNAcentral's name for it is "long non-coding RNA (TAES_LNC004779)". Lineage: Eukaryota; Viridiplantae; Streptophyta; Magnoliopsida; Poales; Poaceae. The record is from RNAcentral.